CGCAGGGGUGGGGCCUUCACGAUGGAGGUCGGCCAGCGGUGUCGUCUCCUUCUCGCCGACUGCACAUCCACGCAUGCCACGAACAGCUCGGAUGACAUCCACAGCAACGGAUUCACCGUGACAGGAGUGGUGGUGGGGGUGCGCCCCCACGCCGAGGAGCCAUGGCGGCGCUUGUAUUACGUUCACUGCACCCACAUCGAGUUUGGCGCGGAGCUGGCGCGGCAGCGGCGCAAGGCGGCUGCACCGUCGUGGAGCGGGGCCCCACUCAGCACUAUUGGGAGCGGCACCAUACACAGCUGCAACGAGCUGCGCGCCGCCGGCGGCAGCUUUGUCUCAAACGGCGGCUACCACUACCGCUACGAUGGCUGGUAUGAUGCCUUCGCUCUCGCCCCGCUGUCUGCGGACGUCUUCCUCGCCAACAACACCGCUGCCAUGGCGUCCGCUGGCUCUUCGCCACCUGAGCCGCCCGCGACGGUGUCGGAACCGCGCGAUGACGAAGGAGCAGCGUCAGUGCCCGCCGUCUCGCACCUGCCUGGACAGCACCGCGAAGCCCCGGAGGAGUGGGUGACCGCGAUGGAGCGUGACACGGCCGUGUGCGAGGUGGUGUAUCUGUGCUACGCCUUCCAACCUUGGUUUCCUGCACCCUACAGCGCUCUACAGUACCUGGCCCUCCCCGAGGACGACGUCUGCCACUCCGUCUACGUGUGCCACCGCUGUCUCUCGCCCUUCUUCACGCGGGAGCAGUACUACGUACACCUGGCCGGCGAGUACUGCCGCCUGCGCACCCCGCCUGGCCGACUCAUCUACCAUGACGGGGACGCCGGGUACAAGGCGUUCCUCGUGGACGGCGCCAAGGACCUUCACUAUGGCCGCUGCCUCUCCCUCCUGGGCAAACAGCUCAUCGAGAGCAAGGUGCUGUCGAACGACGUCGACCUGUACGAGUAUGUGGUGGUGACGAUUCCCCGCGCCUCUCUGCCGUACAUACCAGCCGCACUGCCGUCCUGCACGUCCGCCGAGCAGUGUGGAGUGGACAACCUGGUCGCGCUUUCGAGAGAGGGGUUUCGCCAGGCUGCGAGCGACUUCGACGCGGAGGACUGGGACGGCGACGCGGUCAUGGGGUACUUCAGCAGGCUGAAGCACCACCCCGAUCACACGCUCUCGUGCAUUGUCACGCUGCCCAUGUUUCAACGCACACGUGUGGCUACUUUCCUGCUGGAUGUGGCGUACUGGAUGACUCGGCAGCGGCAACGUCUGUGCGGGUGCGGCUUCUGUGGGCAGUCUGGCGGAGCCAUCAGUCGACCCUUCUCGCCCCACGGGCAGUCGUUGCUGCUCUCCUACUGGCGACGCGCGCUGCUGCGGUCUCUAGCCGAGGUUGCUCCGUUACACCGGCGUGCGUCACGGGCCGCGCAGCCGGAGCUGCGCUUCACCCUGGCGGAGCUCCGCGCGCUGAUGGACAUACCAAUCCACACAGAUGACAUGGAAACGCUGCUGCUGCAGAGCGAGUUCGCCUUCUAUCAGCCCGCUGCUGCCAGCGCCGCGUCGGCGCGCUACAGCGACGAUGACGACAGCACCUCACCACCAACCUCUCCGACCUCUGCAGAGAGAGGGCAACGUCGCGAGCGCGGCAGCACCUCCACUUCGCUGAAAGACUCGCAGGCGAGCAGCGGCAGCAAGCUGUCCUCUUCCUCGGCCGGAGGCAGCGCUGGGAAUGGUGGCAGCUCGACAUCUGGAGCGCGCUACACGGCCACGCUGGUUCUGGAGGCCACGCUCCUUGAGGCAGCAGCAGAGCUUCACACAAAGAAGCCGCGCUCGUGUGUGAUGUUCGACAAGCGCUGGCUCGUAAAGGAUGGGCGAGGCGCCUAUGCGUACGACACGCCGUACUUCCACCACUGAACAGUAUUCAUGGAGGUGCAGAGAGGUGAAAGAGGCGAGUGCAGCAUGGAUGGUGAGUGGCCGCAAGAUCCGCAAGAGAGUGCGUGUGUAUGAGUGCUGCCUGUGUGUGUGUGUGCGUCGUCCCUCGCAGCUCACCGCGUGCCUUUUCUUUCCCUUCUCCAUGUCUCUCGCAUGGCCCACCAUCGCGUUUCCGUGGAAGGCUCUUCACCAACCACCGACCACCGACCGUCUCUUGCUUUUCCAAAGCACAGCACGGCCACCGACCGAUACACGCGCGUAGACGCGCGCACAUUUAUACGUCUCUCUAUCAAGCCACUCGUGAG
RNAcentral lists this unclassified non-coding RNA (2216 nucleotides) under Leishmania donovani. Its description in RNAcentral is "gene:LdHU3.13.0220(CDS-product:MOZ/SAS_family_ace tyltransferase_putative)". Lineage: Eukaryota; Euglenozoa; Kinetoplastea; Trypanosomatida; Trypanosomatidae. The record is from RNAcentral.